RNAcentral lists this ribosomal RNA (496 nucleotides) under uncultured bacterium. Its description in RNAcentral is "partial 16S ribosomal RNA". It matches the Rfam family "Bacterial small subunit ribosomal RNA", at positions 29 to 507 of the family's 1533-position model. The record is from RNAcentral.
AUGAACGCUGGCGGCGUGCCUAAUACAUGCAAGUCGAGCGAACAGACGAGGAGCUUGCUCCUCUGACGUUAGCGGCGGCCGGGUGAGUAACACGUGGAUAACCUACCUAUAAGACUGGGAUAACUUCGGGAAACCGGAGCUAAUACCGGAUAAUAUAUUGAACCGCAUGGUUCAAUAGUGAAAGACGGUUUUGCUGUCACUUAUAGAUGGAUCCGCGCCGCAUUAGCUAGUUGGUAAGGUAACGGCUUACCAAGGCAACGAUGCGUAGCCGACCUGAGAGGGUGAUCGGCCACACUGGAACUGAGACACGGUCCAGACUCCUACGGGAGGCAGCAGUAGGGAAUCUUCCGCAAUGGGCGAAGGCCUGACGGAGCAACGCCGCGUGAGUGAUGAAGGUCUUCGGAUCGUAAAACUCUGUUAUUAGGGAAGAACAAAUGUGUAAGUAACUAUGCACGUCUUGACGGUACCUAAUCAGAAAGCCACGGCUAACUACGUG